This 83-nucleotide transfer RNA is filed under the name Sphaerobolus stellatus SS14. It matches the Rfam family "tRNA". From Rfam's summary of the family: Transfer RNA (tRNA) molecules are approximately 80 nucleotides in length. Lineage: Eukaryota; Fungi; Basidiomycota; Agaricomycetes; Geastrales; Sphaerobolaceae. The record is from Rfam by way of RNAcentral.
GGCCGCCUGGCGAAAUGGCAUCGCGUCUGACUACGAUGCGUAGUGAAAUCAGGAGAUUGCAGGUUCGAUCCCUGCGGUGGUCA